Molecule: ribosomal RNA, 252 nt
Filed under: uncultured bacterium
Lineage: Bacteria
Description: partial 16S ribosomal RNA
Rfam family: Bacterial small subunit ribosomal RNA
Source: RNAcentral
UACGUAGGGUGCAAGCGUUGUCCGGAAUUACUGGGCGUAAAGAGCUCGUAGGCGGUUUGUCGCGUCGUCUGUGAAACCAGCAGCUCAACUGUUGGCUUGCAGGCGAUACGGGCAGACUUGAGUAUUUCAGGGGAGACUGGAAUUCCUGGUGUAGCGGUGAAAUGCGCAGAUAUCAGGAGGAACACCGGUGGCGAAGGCGGGUCUCUGGGAAAUAACUGACGCUGGAGGAGCGAAAGCGUGGUAGCGAACAGG